ACCAAUAGUAUCUUCAUUCCUCUAUGACUUCCCAAGUUCUCUCAGUGGUUAUGCAGAAUUUUUUAAAUUUUGUAGGGCAAUGCUGAUUUCUAGUCUGGCAUGUCAGUUACUUAGAAGUUGCCACUCCAUCGUAACAACAAAUAAAAAGAUAACAAAAUCAUCAGUUCUUGUUACAUCUGGUAGAGAAGUGAGUGCAGAUCACUGUCUAUCACUCCCAAUGUUGGAGAAACAGACAGACAGAUACAGAGAAUCACAACUUAUCUGAGCAGAAACCCUGGAUCAAAAAUCUCUGCAGGAACCAGUGGCAGGGUGGACCUGAACUGUAAUUGAUAAAUUGUUGAAGCACAGUGUGGACAACUCUGAGACUUAAAAACUCCAGGAGGCCCUGUUUUCGGGAGGCUGCUGCAUUUUUAUAAAUUUUACCUUCAGAAGUGCUACCAAUUCUUCACAGUAAAUAUUGGAAAAAACUUCCCUUUGUGAUGUUGGUAGGGGGAGACGAAAAGUAAUCAUUUUGAAAGAUGCCAUAGCAUUCUCUUCUUCUUAAUAUAAGGCCUGCCUUCAGGGGAAACUAUUUAGCAGAGACUAAUCUGCUGGGGUUUUAUGAAAGCCUAACUGUCCUGGGGAAAGGAAGCCUUCUACAUGGAGGAAGGGAAAUACACAGCACUUGCCCUCUUCCAGCCAUCCUGCUCCACCUAAGUGGGAGAGGACCAGGAGGCACUAGCGAAGUUCAUGGUCCAAGGGCACAAUCUUACCAAAAGAAUGAGACCAAAUUAUAAGACAAAAACUUUUCUUGUCCCCACAAUUUACUGUUAUAUUGCUAAAGGUCUACUUAGUGCAGUUUCUUGUAUCCUGUAGGUUAUAUCCAUUUUUCAACAAAGAAUUAUAAGGCAUACUCAUAGGCAAAAACAAAGUUUGAGAGACUGAAUAAGAUUCAGAACCAGUCAGUUAUAGAAAGAAUGCCAGAAUUAUCAGAUCAAGAAUCAAAACAAAAUCUCCCCAAAAAUCUAUAAUUACUAUGCUAAGAGCUUUAAUGGAAAAUGUAGAUAAUAUGCCAAAACAGAAGAAUAAUAUAAGCAGAGAGAUAGAAAUUAUAUCAAAGAGUCAAAAAUAAUGCUAGAAAUUAAAGACUCUGUAACAGAAAUGAAGAAUUUAUCGUGUGGGUUCAUUAGACUGGACGUGGCUGAGGAAAGACUGUCUGAGCUUGAAGAUAUGACAAUAGAAUCUUCAAAAACUAAAAACAACAGAGAAAAAAAUGCUGAAUAAAACCCCCCACAAAAACAGCAUAAUAUCCAAGAGCUGUGCAACAACAAAAUGUAUAACAUAAGUAUAAUGAGAAUACCGGAAAAAGAAGAAAGAAUGGAAUGAACAGAAAGGUUAUUUGAGAAAAUAAUGAUGGAGAAUUUUCCCAAAUUAACGUCAGAAACUAAACAACAAACCCAGGAAACUCAGAAAACACAAAGCAGGAUAAAUGCCAGAAAACCUAUAUCUGGCCAGGAGUGGUGGCUCACACCUGUAAUCCCAGCACUUUGGGAGGCUGAGGCAGAUGGAUCAUGAGGUCAGGAGUUCGAGACCAGCCUGGCCAACAUGGUGAAACCCCAUCUGUACUAAAGAUACAAAAAAUUAGCCAGGCAUGGUGGAACAUGCCUGUAAUCCCAGCUAUAUGGGAGGCUGAGGCAUGAAAAUCAUUUAAACCCGGGAAGAAGAGGUUGCAGUGAGCCCAGAUUGCACUAUUGCACUCCAGCUUAGUGACAGGGUAAGACUCCUUCUCAGAAAAAAGAAAAAAAAAAAAAAGUUAAAAAAAGUUGUGAAAGAAGCCAGAGGGAAGAAAAAAAAAAAUUUCAAAGGUAAGAAUUACAUACAACUUCCCCUCAAACAACAUGCCUGAAAGAAGAGUGUAGAAUAAAAUAUUUGAGGGGUUGAGAGAAAAAAUAAAACAAACAAACAUAAAAACACCAACUUAGAAUUUAUUAUCCCUCAAAUGUGAAGGAGUAGUGAAGAUUUUCACAGAAAAACAAAAGUUGAGGGAAUUUUUUGCCAUCAGAUGUCUUGCAAGAAGAGUUAAAAACCUGUUUUUCAGUACAAAGAAAAAUUAUAUAGGUCAGAAAUGCAGAUCUAAAUAAAGACAGGAAGAACGUUAGAGAAUAAAUAAGUAAAAAACAAUACUUUUAUUUUUCUUAUUCUUAGUUUAUCCAAUAGAUAACAAAAUUGUUCAAAAUAACAGUAGAAGCUAUAUUCAAUUAUUUACAACUAUAUAUAUUUAUAUAUGCUUAUGUAUAAGUAAAAUGUAUGACAUCACUGAUAAUACAAGGAACAGGAGGAAAAAAUAGGAAUAGUUUGUUAUUAUGAGUUAUACUUCCUGUUAAGUAGUAUAAUGUUAUCUGAAAAUGGGCUUGAAGUAAUUCUAAAUAUAGAUUGUAAAAUCUCAACCACUUAAUUUUUUUAAAUGCAUAAUUAUGACAAUAAGAACGGAGAAUGAAUGAAAUUAUAUAAAAUACCCAAUUAAAAUCACAAAAGGCAGAAAAAGUUUGGAAGAUAAAAAUAGAAACAAAAAACAAUAGUGACAAAAACAAUAACAAAUAUGGUAGCUAUUAAUGCAACUAUAUCACUAAUAACCUUAAACAUUAAUAGGCUAAAUACACCAAUUAAAAAACAGAUUGUCAGAGUAAAUUAAAAGAAAACUGUGUACUAGUUACAAGAAGCCCACAUUAAAUGUAAUUACACAUAUAGUUUUAAAAUAAAGCGAUGAAGAAAGAUAUACCAUUCUAACAUGAAUCAAAAGAAUCGGGAAGCCGGGCGCGGUGGCUCAUGCCUGUAAUCCCAGCACUUUGGGAGGCCAAGGCAGGCAGAUCACCUGAGGUUGGGAGUUUGAGACCGGCCUGACCAACAUGGAAAAACCCUGUCUCUGCCAAAAACACAAAAUUAGCCGGGUGUGGUGGCACACACCUGUAAUCCCAGCUACUUGGGAGGCUGAGGCAGGAGAAUCACUUGAACCCGGGAGGCAGAGGUUGCAGUGAGCAGAGAUGGGGUUUCUCCAUGUUGGUCAGGCUGGUCUUGAACUCCCAACCUCAGGUGAUUCGCCCCCUUCAGCCUCCCAAAGUGCUGGGAUUACAGGCAUGAGCUACCGCACCCAGCCAUUACUGCUUUUUUAACAUCAUCCUGGAAGUCCCAGUUGAUGUGAUAAGUCAAUACGAGAAAUUUAAAAUUACAUAGAUUGAAAAGACAAAAUGAAACAGUCUUUGUUCAUAGGUGAUAUUAUCAUUGACAUGAAGAAAUGGAAAAAAUUAGAGGACCAGACAAUUUAAAAAACCUUCUCAGAACUAAUAUGCAAUUAUAGCAAGGUUGCAGGAUACAAGGUUAAUAUACAAAGGGCAAUUCUGUAUAUACCAGCUAUGAAUAAGUGGAAUUUGAAAUAAAAAAUGUCAUAAC
This 3426-nucleotide long non-coding RNA is filed under the name Homo sapiens (human). RNAcentral's name for it is "HSALNT0085364". Lineage: Eukaryota; Metazoa; Chordata; Mammalia; Primates; Hominidae. The record is from RNAcentral.